RNAcentral lists this ribosomal RNA (468 nucleotides) under uncultured bacterium. RNAcentral describes it as "partial 16S ribosomal RNA". It matches the Rfam family "Bacterial small subunit ribosomal RNA", at positions 28 to 507 of the family's 1533-position model. The record is from RNAcentral.
GACGAACGCUGGCGGCGUGCUUAACACAUGCAAGUCGAACGGAAAGGCCCUGCUUUUGUGGGGUGCUCGAGUGGCGAACGGGUGAGUAACACGUGAGUAACCUGCCCUUGACUUUGGGAUAACUUCAGGAAACUGGGGCUAAUACCGGAUAGGAGCUCCUGCCGCAUGGUGGGGGUUGGAAAGUUUCGGCGGUUGGGGAUGGACUCGCGGCUUAUCGGCUUGUUGGUGGGGUAGUGGCUUACCAAGGCUUUGACGGGUAGCCGGCCUGAGAGGGUGACCGGCCACAUUGGGACUGAGAUACGGCCCAGACUCCUACGGGAGGCAGCAGUGGGGAAUAUUGCACAAUGGGCGGAAGCCUGAUGCAGCAACGCCGCGUGCGGGAUGACGGCCUUCGGGUUGUAAACCGCUUUCGCCUGUGACGAAGCGUGAGUGACGGUAAUGGGUAAAGAAGCACCGGCUAACUACGUG